Molecule: ribosomal RNA, 448 nt
Filed under: uncultured bacterium
Lineage: Bacteria
Description: bacterial SSU rRNA
Rfam family: Bacterial small subunit ribosomal RNA
Source: RNAcentral
UGAGGAAUAUUGCGCAAUGGACGAAAGUCUGACGCAGCAACGCCGCGUGAAGGAUGACGGUCUUCGGAUUGUAAACUUCUGUUAAGUGGGAAGAAAAAUCCGUUUCUAAUACAGACGGUAAUGACGGUACCAUUAGAGAAAGCACCGGCUAACUUCGUGCCAGCAGCCGCGGUAAUACGAGGGGUGCAAGCGUUAUUCGGAAUUAUUGGGCGUAAAGGGUACGUAGACGGCAUAUUAAGUCAACUGUUAAAUUCCUCGGCCUAACUGGGGACCAGCGGUAGAUACUGAUGUGCUAGAGGAUGGAAGAGAGAAGUGGAAUUCUCGGAGUAGCGGUAAAAUGCGUAGAUCUCGAGAGGAACACCGAUGGCGAAGGCAGCUUCUUGGUCCAUUUCUGACGUUGAGGUACGAAAGCGUGGGGAGCAAACAGGAUUAGAUACCCCCGUAGUCC